AUUCACCUGACGAGUCCCGAAUAGGACGAAACACGAGUCCUGGAU
RNAcentral lists this non-coding RNA (45 nucleotides) under Schistosoma margrebowiei. Lineage: Eukaryota; Metazoa; Platyhelminthes; Trematoda; Strigeidida; Schistosomatidae. The record is from RNAcentral.